CAAAAUAUUGCGAGGGGCUCCCCCUCACAAUUUGACUGAAUAAAAUUUUCAAGGGGCAACCCCACGCAAAAAAGCAUGCAUGUGUCCCAUCCAUUACUACGUUCAGACUGUGUGUGCAGGUGUUAUUUCCUAGACUACAAAUGGCGAGGGGCAACUCCACGCAUUAUAGUCCCAAUUUACUGUGCGCAAUAAAUUCUUCUACCAACCCCACUACUUCCUCUCAGUAACGUUACAAUAGUAUUCUUUAUAGCUUCUCCUCACUCUCCACCCACUCCCCACACAUUCUCAUUACUGCUUCCUUUAAUUUUUCAUCCAUUCCCAAAAUUAUUUCAAAUAUCAUCUUCUUCUUCCAUGAGUCAUGAAGCCAUGAAAAUUAUAUCAUCUUCAAAUUAAAAAUUUUGAGAAGCCCAAUAUUUUAAAGGAAAGCUCCAAAAUCUACACCAAAAUUAUCUACAAAUAAGAGUUGUGGGAAGAAAUGAGGAGCCAGACACAACAGUAUCAAGAAGUAAUGCGAAUUGCAAACGAGCAAACACAAAGAUUUGAUUUUUUUUUUUGUGACAAAAUACCGGUGGUGGAUUUGGAGAAGCUAAUGGUGGAUAUGGAGGAGUUGUUGAAGAAGAGGAGGAACAAGAUGAAGAAAUAAUUAAAUUUGAAUAUUUAAAUUUAUUUUAAUUUGUAUGGAAGAAUUUAUGUGUCAAUUAACAACUAUUUUGAAUAUUUUGUAUGGAACUUUAUUUUAAUUUUUAUUAUGUUUAAUUGAAUAUUAAUUAUUAAUAUUUAUUA
Molecule: long non-coding RNA, 783 nt
Organism: Vicia villosa (hairy vetch)
Lineage: Eukaryota; Viridiplantae; Streptophyta; Magnoliopsida; Fabales; Fabaceae
Exons: 3
Source: RefSeq, a predicted model, not a curated record